GACGAACGCUGGCGGCGUGCUUAACACAUGCAAGUCGAACGGAAAGGCCUCUUUCGGGGGGUACUCGAGUGGCGAACGGGUGAGUAACACGUGAGUAACCUGCCCUUGACUUUGUGAUAACUUCAGGAAACUGGGGCUAAUACCGGAUAGGAGCUCCUGCUGCAUGGUGGGGGUUGGAAAGUUUCGGCGGUUGGGGAUGGACUCGCGGCUUAUCAGCUUGUUGGUGGGGUAGUGGCUUACCAAGGCUUUGACGGGUAGCCGGCCUGAGAGGGUGACCGGCCACAUUGGGACUGAGAUACGGCCCAGACUCCUACGGGAGGCAGAGGUGGGGAAUAUUGCACAAUGGGUGGAAGCCUGAUGCAGCAACGCCGUGUGCGGGAUGACGGCCUUCGGGUUGUAAACCGCUUUCGCUCAUGACGAAGCUUUGUGUGACGGUAGUGGGUAAAGAAGCACCGGCUAACUACGUG
This 467-nucleotide ribosomal RNA is filed under the name uncultured bacterium. RNAcentral's name for it is "partial 16S ribosomal RNA". It matches the Rfam family "Bacterial small subunit ribosomal RNA", at positions 28 to 507 of the family's 1533-position model. The record is from RNAcentral.